AACGAACGCUGGCGGCGCGUCUUACCCAUGCAAGUCGAGCGGCAGGCCGCAAUGCCGAGAGCGGCGGACUGGUGAGUAACACGUGGAUAACGUACCCCGAUGUCCGGGACAGCCUGUAGAAAUAGAGGGUAAUACCGGAUAGAUCACUGUUUACGUGAGGUAGACAGCGGGAAAGGAGCUUCGGCUCCGCGACGGGAUCGGUCUGCGGCCCAUCAGCUGGACGGCGGGGUAAAGGCCCGCCGUGGCGAGGACGGGUAUCCGGCCUGAGAGGGCGGACGGACACAUUGGGACUGAGAUACGGCCCAGACUCCUACGGGAGGCAGCAGGUAAGAAUAUUCCGCAAUGGGGGGAACCCUGACGGAGCGACGCCGCGUGAACGAAGAGGGCCGGAAGGUUGUAAAGUUCUUUUCUGUCCGAGGAAUAAGUUUCGGAGGAAAUGCCGGGACGGUGACGGUAGGGCAGGAAUAAGCACCGGCUAAUUACGUG
RNAcentral lists this ribosomal RNA (486 nucleotides) under uncultured bacterium. RNAcentral describes it as "partial 16S ribosomal RNA". It matches the Rfam family "Bacterial small subunit ribosomal RNA", at positions 29 to 507 of the family's 1533-position model. The record is from RNAcentral.